AUGGUCUCAGACAUCACACAAGCCUAACAGAAAGAACCCAUCUGCCUCUUCUGUCUGAACUAACUCGUAGACCCCAUCAUCACAGGCUGUGGCCCCAGCUUCUGUAGGCCCUGUCUCUGCCUUUUCUGGGAAGAAGCCAAAAUUCCUACCUGCUGCCAAAAAGAUAUUUGGAGCUGUGGAUAAGAGCCUGCUUCAUUUGCUAUUCUGGAACACUCAGGAGCACGGGGCUCCCAGACACGAGAUGAUAAUGAAGCAAACGAGUUCUUUUGGGGCAAAAAUUCAAGAAAACCAAAGAAAGUUAAAUGAGGAGAGCAGGAAAACCAACCAGUGGAGGUGUGAGUCAGAGCAGCGGCACAUGCCCCAGUGUGUGAGCUCGGAUCUCUGUGCUCAACCCAUCACUGGACUAAUGGACAGAUUUCAUGACCUCCAGGUGAGUGUCA
This 440-nucleotide long non-coding RNA is filed under the name Homo sapiens (human). RNAcentral describes it as "non-protein coding lnc-TRIM49B-2:1". Lineage: Eukaryota; Metazoa; Chordata; Mammalia; Primates; Hominidae. The record is from RNAcentral.